RNAcentral lists this small RNA (2581 nucleotides) under Pan troglodytes (chimpanzee). RNAcentral describes it as "processed transcript". Lineage: Eukaryota; Metazoa; Chordata; Mammalia; Primates; Hominidae. The record is from RNAcentral.
GGAAUGCCUCGCCAGGACCCACGGGGCUUGACUAGAGCCGUCUCAGAAGCUGCUGCCUGGAGCCUGCAUCAUAAGUUCACAGCCCAGCAGUGUAUGCAGCUGGGGGUGCGGUGCGGCUGCAUCGGCUAAUGAUGGAAACUGGCCAACAUUAAAACAGAAUUCUAGCUCUUCCGUGAAACCAGUGCAGGUGGCCGGUGCAGACUGGAAGGAUCCGAGCGUGGAGGGGUCUGUCAAGCAGGGCACUGUCUCCAGCCAGCCUGUGCCCUUCUCAGCACUGGGACCCACGGAGAAGCCGGGCAUCGAGAUUGGUAAAGUGCCACCUCCCAUCCCGGGUGUAGGCAAGCAGCUGCCUCCAAGCUAUGGGACAUACCCAAGUCCUACACCUCUGGGUCCUGGGUCGACAAGCUCCCUGGAAAGGAGGAAGGAAGGCAGCUUGCCCAGGCCCAGUGCAGGCCUGCCAAGUCGACAGAGGCCCACCCUGCUGCCCCCCACAGGCAACACCCCCCAGCCAGGCUCCUCACAACAGAUUCAGCAGAGGAUUUCCGUACCGCCAAGUCCCACGUACCCGCCAGCGGGACCACCUGCAUUUCCAGCUGGGGACAGCAAGCCUGAACUCCCACUGACAGUGGCCAUUAGGCCCUUCCUGGCUGAUAAAGGGUCAAGGCCACAGUCUCCCAGGAAAGGACCCCAGACAGUGAAUUCAAGUUCCAUAUACUCCAUGUACCUCCAGCAAGCCACACCACCUAAGAAUUACCAGCCGGCAGCACACAGCGCCUUAAAUAAGUCAGUUAAAGCAGUGUAUGGUAAGCCCGUUUUACCUUCGGGUUCAACCUCUCCAUCGCCGCUGCCGUUUCUUCACGGGUCGCUGUCCACGGGCACACCACAGCCUCAGCCAUCUUCAGAAAGUGCUGAGAAAGAGCCUGAGCAGGAUGGCCCCGCCGCCCCCGCAGAUGGCAGCACCGUGGAGAGCCUGCCACGGCCACUCAGCCCCACCAAGCUCACGCCCAUCGUGCAUUCGCCACUGCGCUACCAGAGUGAUGCAGACCUGGAGGCCCUCCGCAGGAAGCUGGCCAACGCGCCCCGGCCCCUGAAAAAGCGCAGCUCCAUCACAGAGCCCGAGGGCCCCGGCGGGCCCAACAUCCAGAAGCUGCUGUACCAGCGCUUCAACACCCUGGCCGGUGGCAUGGAGGGCACCCCUUUCUACCAGCCCAGCCCCUCCCAGGACUUCAUGGGCACCUUGGCCGAUGUGGACAAUGGAAACACCAAUGCCAAUGGAAACCUGGAAGAGCUCCCCCCUGCCCAGCCCACAGCCCCACUCCCCGCUGAGCCUGCCCCGUCAUCAGAUGCCAAUGAUAAUGAGUUACCUUCCCCCGAACCAGAGGAGCUCAUCUGUCCCCAAACCACCCACCAAACUGCCGAGCCGGCAGAGGACAAUAACAACAACGUGGCCACGGUCCCCACCACGGAGCAGAUCCCGAGUCCUGUGGCUGAGGCCCCAUCUCCAGGGGAAGAGCAGGUCCCUCCAGCACCUCUUCCCCCUGCCAGCCACCCUCCUGCCACCUCCACGAGCAAGCGGACCAACUUGAAGAAGCCCAACUCGGAGCGGACGGGGCACGGGCUGAGAGUCCGGUUUAACCCCCUGGCACUGCUCCUAGACGCGUCUCUGGAAGGAGAGUUCGAUCUGGUGCAGAGGAUCAUCUAUGAGGUGAGCUGCAGCCGGGGACCCGUGCACGCUGCUGGGGGCGAGGGGAUGGGCGCUCACAGGCCAUGUGUCCUAGGUGGAAGAUCCCAGCAAGCCCAACGACGAAGGGAUCACCCCACUGCACAACGCCGUCUGCGCCGGCCACCAUCACAUCGUGAAGUUCCUGCUGGAUUUUGGUGUCAACGUGAAUGCUGCUGAUAGUGAUGGAUGGACGCCGCUGCACUGCGCUGCCUCUUGUAACAGCGUUCACCUCUGCAAACAGCUGGUGGAGAGUGGUGCCGCCAUUUUUGCCUCAACCAUAAGCGACAUUGAAACUGCUGCAGACAAGUGUGAGGAGAUGGAGGAAGGCUACAUCCAGUGCUCCCAGUUUCUAUAUGGGGUGCAGGAAAAGCUGGGUGUGAUGAACAAAGGUGUGGUGUAUGCUCUGUGGGACUACGAGGCCCAGAACAGUGACGAGCUGUCCUUCCACGAAGGGGACGCCCUCACCAUCCUGAGGCGCAAGGACGAAAGCGAGACUGAGUGGUGGUGGGCUCGCCUUGGAGACCGGGAGGGCUAUGUGCCCAAAAACCUGCUGGGGCUGUAUCCACGGAUCAAACCCCGACAGCGAACACUGGCCUGAACUUCCUUUUGGAGCACCGCAUGGUCUUGCCAGCUACCAGGAGCCACUUAAGAGAUUAUUGUGCUGUUUUCCAGGAAAGCUGCAGCUAGAAAAUGGUCUUAAUGGUGCUCACUUUAGCAGACAGCGUCCACAAUGUGAAUCCUACAGUUUCCAGGUGAGGCCCUUUCUCCAGUUUGCCCAUAACUGGGAGAGGUACUUUCGCCUCCAAGGACUGAAUUUUGCCAAUUACUGUAAAUCCAAAUAAAUACCCACUUUCAAAA